This 554-nucleotide ribosomal RNA is filed under the name uncultured bacterium. RNAcentral's name for it is "bacterial SSU rRNA". It matches the Rfam family "Bacterial small subunit ribosomal RNA", at positions 355 to 896 of the family's 1533-position model. The record is from RNAcentral.
UCGAGAAUCAUUCACAAUGGGCGAAAGCCUGAUGGUGCGACGCCGCGUGGAGGAUGAAGGCCCUAGGGUUGUAAACUCCUGUCAUCAGGGAGUAAAGCAUCGGGUAGUAAUAUGACUCGAUGCCUGAUAGUACCUGAAGAGGAAGAGACGGCUAACUCUGUGCCAGCAGCCGCGGUAAUACAGAGGUCUCAAGCGUUGUUCGGAAUCACUGGGCGUAAAGAGUACGUAGGCGGCAGGGUAAGUCAGAUGUGAAAUCUCCGGGCUCAACCUGGAAACUGCAUCCGAUACUGCCUUGCUAGAGUAGUGGAGGGGCGACUGGAAUUCACGGUGUAGCAGUGAAAUGCGUAGAUAUCGUGAGGAACACUAGUGGCGAAGGCGAGUCGCUGGACACUUACUGACGCUGAGGUACGAAGGCCAGGGGAGCGAAGCGGAUUAGAUACCCGCGUAGUCCUGGCGAGUAAACGGUGUGCACUUGGUGUAGGCGGCUUUGUCCCCGUCUGUGCCGGAGCUAACGCGUUAAGUGCACCGCCUGGGGAAGUACGGCCGCAAGGCUA